AAUCGAAUACACGUAUUGCUGUGUGUAGUCUUUGCCUGUCACCUAAGACGGGCUUUUUUUUUG
Molecule: antisense RNA, 63 nt
Filed under: Yersinia kristensenii
Lineage: Bacteria; Pseudomonadati; Pseudomonadota; Gammaproteobacteria; Enterobacterales; Yersiniaceae
Description: partial antisense sRNA RprA
Rfam family: RprA RNA
About the family: Translational regulation of the stationary phase sigma factor RpoS is mediated by the formation of a double-stranded RNA stem-loop structure in the upstream region of the rpoS messenger RNA, occluding the translation initiation site. Clones carrying rprA (RpoS regulator RNA A) increased the translation of RpoS.
Source: RNAcentral